This 496-nucleotide ribosomal RNA is filed under the name uncultured bacterium. RNAcentral describes it as "partial 16S ribosomal RNA". It matches the Rfam family "Bacterial small subunit ribosomal RNA", at positions 28 to 506 of the family's 1533-position model. The record is from RNAcentral.
GAUGAACGCUGGCGGCGUGCCUAAUACAUGCAAGUCGAGCGAACAGAUGAGGAGCUUGCUCCUCUGACGUUAGCGGCGGACGGGUGAGUAACACGUGGAUAACCUACCUAUAAGACUGGGAUAACUUCGGGAAACCGGAGCUAAUACCGGAUAAUAUAUUGAACCGCAUGGUUCAAUAGUGAAAGACGGUUUUGCUGUCACUUAUAGAUGGAUCCGCGCCGCAUUAGCUAGUUGGUAAGGUAACGGCUUACCAAGGCAACGAUGCGUAGCCGACCUGAGAGGGUGAUCGGCCACACAGGAACUGAGACACGGUCCAGACUCCUACGGGAGGCAGCAGUAGGGAAUCUUCCGCAAUGGGCGAAAGCCUGACGGAGCAACGCCGCGUGAGUGAUGAAGGUCUUCGGAUCGUAAAACUCUGUUAUUAGGGAAGAACAAAUGUGUAAGUAACUAUGCACGUCUUGACGGUACCUAAUCAGAAAGCCACGGCUAACUACGU